GCCCGUCCACACCAUGAGAGUUGGGAAUACCCGAAGCCUGUGAGCUAACUUUAGAGGCAGCAGUCGAAGGUAGAAUCAAUGAUUGGGGUGAAGUCGUAACAAGGUAGC
RNAcentral lists this ribosomal RNA (108 nucleotides) under uncultured bacterium. RNAcentral's name for it is "partial 16S ribosomal RNA". It matches the Rfam family "Bacterial small subunit ribosomal RNA", at positions 1392 to 1500 of the family's 1533-position model. The record is from RNAcentral.